Molecule: ribosomal RNA, 118 nt
Organism: Pteropus vampyrus (large flying fox)
Lineage: Eukaryota; Metazoa; Chordata; Mammalia; Chiroptera; Pteropodidae
Source: Ensembl
GUCUACAGCCAUGCCACCCUGGACAUGUCCGAUCCCAUCUGAUUCGGAAGCUAAGCAGGGUUGAGCCUGGCUAGUACUUGGAUGGGAGAACACCUAAGAAGACCAGGUGCUGUAGGUG